This is a long non-coding RNA of Erpetoichthys calabaricus (reedfish), 2763 nucleotides long. RefSeq lists it as uncharacterized. Lineage: Eukaryota; Metazoa; Chordata; Cladistia; Polypteriformes; Polypteridae. The transcript has 3 exons. The record is from RefSeq and is a predicted model, not a curated record.
ACAAACAGAUGUUUUAUUUUUUUUAGAAAGCUUUAAUAAUGCGUGCAAGCUGGAUUUUAUCGAGUAAUUUAGAUGUGACUGUUAUCUUUUUGUGUCUUUACAUCUUUACAGAGCGAUCAGCAGCGGGUAUUCAGGAAUGAGCAGACUAAAAGUUUUCUGAACACAACAGAAGGAGAUAGACACUUACAGGCUCAGCGAUCCAAAGAGUUGAACAUUGGAAGAAAGGCUCUGGUUCAGGUACGGAGAGCUGCUUUGGAGGAACUUCUACAUCAAGAAUUCUUACAAUACCAGAGGGAGCUGAGCCUCAUGGGGAAGGCAUUUUAUCAGCAGAGGAUUUAAUUCAUUUGAAAAUCUUUCACCAGUUUUUAAUGUGCAACUACCUGAAGCCCAUGUUACUUGAAUACAUAACUAAAAUAUUUAUUUUUCACUUUAAUUAAAACAAUGCAUUAAACUUUUUAUAUCUUACACUGCACACUGAAUGCUUUUUUUUAUUAAUGAAAGAACAUACCCUCUGAUGAUAGGAUAGUUAACAUUUUAAGUAAAAUAUCCAUCCAUUCAUUUUCUUCAGCUUGUUUUAUGAAGUAUCUUUUGUGGGGAUUUGUAAUCUGCUGUAAUAGCAACAGGAGCAAAAAGGAAAUGCAUGGGGCACACUCAUAUAUUCAUUCACACAGAGCCAGCUUCAAGUUGCACUGCAACUUAUCUUUACACCUAUAAGGGAAGUUAAAGAUUUCAACAUGCAAACUCCACACAGAAGGAACCACAGAUGGAAAAUGAACCAGUGCAUUAGGGCCAUAAAGUCACCACACCCUUAAGGAAAACCAUUAAAAAAAAAUAAACAUACUGUGAUCUGCUCGUUGGAUGUGAGCCGUGCAAGUAAGAAUUUUACUGUACUCAGUACCUGUAACAAUAAACUUUAUUUGUUUGUUUCAGUCUAAUCAAGAAGCAGAAUUACAAACAUGUGGAUGGAAUCAUUUAGAUUUUAAAUCAUAAAGGAAUAUACCCUAAAGUGGUAUUUUUAUAUGUUACUCACCCCAUGUAGUUUGUAGUGGAAAAAGUAAGUAAGAAAGACAUUAACAAUAAGACCCAAUAGUGACCAACACUGGAAACAACCAAAUGUUCUGUUACAACUUGUUAAACCUGCCAAUUUGAUUAAGACUUGCAGUUUAGCCCCAUCUAGUAGGAAUAUCUUCUUGUCAUAUGAUGUAAUCAGGCAGUUAGUUUUAGUGUCAUGAAGGCUACUGUUCAUGUGCGUUGAAGCGCAGCAGUCGCAAUCCGCUGUCAUCUGCCUUUUCUCUAUGUGCGUGUGAUAGCAUCAUCUGUAUGUAUUACUUUACUUUAAAUUUACCUUUCCUUUUAUACACAUUUGCAGAUGGAAUAAUGUAUAUAUAAUGGAACAGUAAUUUAUAUUUGAACAAUAAGUUUGUUGUUUAAUAUAAAGCCACUUAGCACUUGGUAUCUUUUUUCUCUAUUUUAGGUUGACAUAUUUAAUUCCAAUAAACCUGUGCACAAACAAUGGUUUAUAGAGUUUGCCUGUCAAAGCAUGUAAUCUGCGUAGAGGCCAGGAGAGCAAACAAUCUGAAAAACAUCCAUGGAAAACAGAGAAAAUAAUUUUGUAAUUCGUUUCUCAUAAUUCAUAUGUUCGUUAUCCAUUCAUGUGCUCAAAAUGUGCAAAAUGCAUGCAUUGUUUGCUAAAUUAUUAAUACCGGAAAACCCAGUGCACAAUAUAAACAGGAAAGGCACAUUCCUAUAGUACAGUGCUUUUGAAUUGAAAAUCUACCUCUUCACUUCAUUCAUUGGUUAACAAUCCUUUUCCCCCCAAUGAAUGCCAUUGUUUGCCAUUGUCCAUUGUUGGUCCAAGAAAAACUAAGAUUAAAAUUUUCUCAGUCACCAGUACAACUACAUAGGAUAAUUAACAAAAAAAAAAUAUAAUUUUUUGGUUGAGCAUUCCUUUAAGGUAAACACUGAUUAUUUUCAUAGAUAUGCAUUCACAGUUACCUGGAUUUAUUGUCACACACACGGGCAUAGGGAGUGCCUCACUGAUUUAUGUCAAGGGAAACAAAGGGAAAAGUUUAUUAAGGUGACACUAGACUAACCUCUACUCCGUUUCCUUUUCUGCAAAGGAGGAACACCUGACAGGAGAGCUUUCACACCACCUCCAAGAAAUUGAGAGUAGCCCCGUCCCUUCCAUCCACAUCGCUAUUUAAAGAACUCACCAACUGGCAGUUGGCAUUCCUUUUGGAAUCAGUUACCAACAAGGUCAGACCUCAACACAGCGGCUAACAUUGUGAUGGCUGCAAAAGCCUUUGUAACCAUUUGGGCUGUUUUUUUUUUUAUCUUGACUUAGACAUUAAAAGGAGCAUCCCUUGGGACCUCAAACCCCUGUUAUUCUCUUUAUUUGACAAUAUCUAAGAAUGUUUCAUUUCUUUUAUUGUAGUAUGCCCCUAUUCUUUUUCAAAUCAUACUCUUUUAAGCACAGCAGUAUUGUAGCCUUUGUUUUUUUGGUUUGAUAUACUUUACUAAUUCCAGUGGGGAAAUUGUCUUUUCACAUGGCCUUUAUUGUUAAUGUCCUCCAUUCUUAUUUUCUGCCACAACAAAUGAAACACAAGGAAAACAUUUUUAUUUGCUGGUUAUUUCCUGGACUACAUGAACAUAUUCAUUUUUAUUGUGCUUUCAGUAUAUCCAUUUCCUUAUCUGGAACUUGUGAAAUGUUUUCAGGAAGCUGCUAGGCCAAGAAAAAUUUUGCAUCAAAAAUGUAUAUAUAUA